This 230-nucleotide long non-coding RNA is filed under the name Elaeis guineensis (African oil palm). RNAcentral's name for it is "long non-coding RNA (EGUI_LNC017693)". The record is from RNAcentral. Lineage: Eukaryota; Viridiplantae; Streptophyta; Magnoliopsida; Arecales; Arecaceae.
ACCUGGCUUUUUGGUGGUGUUUGAUUGUGAUUUCUGAGGAACUAGAUGAUAAAGAAGAAGAGAAAGAUGAAUCCUUUCCCGACAAUGAUUGGAGGCCAAUGGUGGUGUUGGGUUUCAAAGGGGACUUGAUCCUUUUAAAUAGAGAUGGAGGGAAGGAGUCCAACUCUUCUUUGGCUUCUAUUUCCGCCUGAAAAUCGGGAGGAAGAAGACUUUUGAUCGGGGUUCUUCAU